GCGCCCGGCCACUGCCUCGUAAACCACGCCGUAGCUGCCGCGCCCGAUCUCUGCCAACAGGCUGUACCGCGGCCGCGCCGACCCGCCGCCGCCCUCUGGCCGCCGCCGCGCCAGAGUGGUUCCACCAAUUCCGGUCUACAGCUCUGCCUGUGUGUGAGUUGGGAAUCCUGAUGAGCAAGACGGGUUCCCUGUUGAUGACGAAAUCUCGCUGCAUUGUGAAGAAAGGUGCCAUGUUCAUCAAUAGAGUUCUCCUUUGCUGAACGUCAUGGUAACAACUAACAUUUAAGAGACACUUACCAGCAGCCCUUUCAGGUGUGAAGCGGGAAGCCACGGGUGCCUUCCUUGGCAAGAUCCCCAACAGACAUGUGCUGGAACUGGUUCCUCCAGGCCCAUUAGAGCUGAUCGUGUGCGUGUCUUCCCAGCGUGUGCGUGUCUUCCCAGCUCUGCUCGGUGGUGUCCCAUUGGCAGCUUGAAAUUGGCCACGGUGGGAGAAGUUACCCCAUGGGAACUGGCAAACCCUACAGAUCAAGGCUCCUUCCGCCGCCUCCCCACCCCCAUCCUUCCCCCAAAUGAGUGAACGUCCUUGUGGCUUGGAAAUAGUAAGAGUACUUCCCUUCUAGGUUAUUCAGUUCGAUAAAGUAUGUAAAGCAUA
This is a long non-coding RNA of Leopardus geoffroyi (Geoffroy's cat), 652 nucleotides long. RefSeq lists it as uncharacterized. The transcript is spliced from 3 exons. The record is from RefSeq and is a predicted model, not a curated record. NCBI's taxonomy places the organism in Eukaryota, Metazoa, Chordata, Mammalia, Carnivora, Felidae.